RNAcentral lists this ribosomal RNA (376 nucleotides) under Amynthas conformis. Its description in RNAcentral is "partial 16S ribosomal RNA". It matches the Rfam family "Bacterial large subunit ribosomal RNA", at positions 1926 to 2541 of the family's 2925-position model. Lineage: Eukaryota; Metazoa; Annelida; Clitellata; Crassiclitellata; Megascolecidae. The record is from RNAcentral.
AACGGCCGCGGUAUCCUAACCGUGCAAAGGUAGCAUAAUCACUUGCCUAUUAAUUGUAGGCUAGAAUGAAUGGGUUAACGAAAUAAAGACUGUCUCAAUUAAUUACCUAAAAAUUAUUCUCUACCCGAAGAAAGGUAGAUAACCUCGAAGGACAAGAAGACCCUAUAGAGCUUAAUUUCAAUUACAGAACUAAACUAUAAAAAUAUUCGGUUGGGGCGACCCAGGGCUAAACAAUCACCCAUUAAAUAGAAGAUAAAUAAAUCUAAUAAAUGACCCUCUAAAGAUCACAAGAACAAGCUACCUUAGGGAUAACAGGCUAAUCCCACUUAAGAGUCCUUAUCAACAGUGGGGGUUGGCACCUCGAUGUUGGCUUAGG